UACGGAGGGUGCAAGCGUUAAUCGGAAUUACUGGGCGUAAAGCGUACGUAGGCGGCUUGUUAAGCCAGAUGUGAAAUCCCUGGGCUCAACCUAGGAAUUGCGCUUGUGACUGGCGGGCUCGAGUACGGUAGAGGGGGGUGGAAUUCCUGGUGUAGCAGUGAAAUGCGUAGAGAUCAGGAGGAACACCGAUGGCGAAGGCAGCCCCCUGGGCCUGUACUGACGCUCAUGCACGAAAGCGUGGGGAGCAAACAGG
RNAcentral lists this ribosomal RNA (253 nucleotides) under uncultured microorganism. RNAcentral describes it as "partial 16S ribosomal RNA". It matches the Rfam family "Bacterial small subunit ribosomal RNA", at positions 524 to 776 of the family's 1533-position model. The record is from RNAcentral.